UGGCGGACGGGUGAGUAACGCGUGGGUAACCUGCCCUGUACAGGGGGAGUAACAGUCAGAAAUGACUGCUAAUACCGCAUAAGACCACAGCACCGCAUGGUGCAGGGGUAAAAACUCCGGUGGUACAGGAUGGACCCGCGUCUGAUUAGCUGGUUGGUGAGGUAACGGCUCACCAAGGCGACGAUCAGUAGCCGGCUUGAGAGAGUGAACGGCCACAUUGGGACUGAGACACGGCCCAAACUCCUACGGGAGGCAGCAUG
This 260-nucleotide ribosomal RNA is filed under the name uncultured bacterium. RNAcentral describes it as "partial 16S ribosomal RNA". It matches the Rfam family "Bacterial small subunit ribosomal RNA", at positions 96 to 353 of the family's 1533-position model. The record is from RNAcentral.